UACAGAGGGGGCAAGCGUUAUUCGGAAUUAUUGGGCGUAAAGGGCGCGUAGGCGGUCGGAUAAGUCUUGUGUGAAAUCUUCGGGCUCAACUCGAAGUCUGCACAGGAAACUAUCUGGCUUGAGUGUGGGAGAGGUGAGUGGAAUUCCUGGUGUAGCGGUGAAAUGCGUAGAUAUCAGGAGGAACACCUGUGGCGAAAGCGGCUCACUGGACCACAACUGACGCUGAGGCGCGAAAGCUAGGGGAGCAAACAGG
RNAcentral lists this ribosomal RNA (253 nucleotides) under uncultured bacterium. RNAcentral describes it as "partial 16S ribosomal RNA". It matches the Rfam family "Bacterial small subunit ribosomal RNA", at positions 524 to 776 of the family's 1533-position model. The record is from RNAcentral.